GGACUACACGGGUAUCUAAUCCCGUUCGCUACCCACGCUUUCGUGCUUGAGUGUCAGGAACGCGCCAGUACAUUGCCUUCGCUUUCGGUGUUCCCCAUGAUAUCAACGGAUUUCACCCCUACACCAUGAGUUCCAUGUACCUCUCACGCCCUCAAGUCGUGCCGUUUCGCCCGCGUGUUCCCGGUUGAGCCGGAAGAUUUGACGGACGACUAACACGACCACCUACGCACCCUUUACGCCCAAUAAUUCCGGGUAAUGCUCGGGGCCUCUGUAUUACCGCGGCUGCUGGCAC
RNAcentral lists this ribosomal RNA (292 nucleotides) under uncultured bacterium. RNAcentral describes it as "partial 16S ribosomal RNA". The record is from RNAcentral.